Lotus japonicus is the source of this 3710-nucleotide RNA transcript. RefSeq lists it as uncharacterized. Lineage: Eukaryota; Viridiplantae; Streptophyta; Magnoliopsida; Fabales; Fabaceae. The record is from RefSeq and is a predicted model, not a curated record. The transcript has 4 exons.
GGAGCAGGAGGGGGCACAAAACAUGAUAUCCCUCUAAUGAAGAGGUCCAGUGUGUCAUCUUCCAUACUUGGGCCUUUGAGCACGGGAUUCUCACCCCCUCUAAAGAAGAAAAAUACUGACGAUGGAUUGGGAUUGGCGGAGGCUGCGGAUGAGCAGUCCCGCCCACCUCAAUGAAGAUCAUAUCGUGAAACUGUCGUGGGCUUGGGAACCUACAGAUUGUACGGAUUUUAAAAAAACUCAUCCACUCCAAAGAUCCCGACAUGGUGUUCCUUAUGGAGACUAAAAUGUAUACAUCAAAGGCUCUUCAACAUAGAGGUAUUUGUGGUUUACCUAAUAUUUUUCCAGUUCAUUGUGCAGGGCGAGGGAAAUCUAGAGCAGGAGGCUUAUGCCUUUGGUGGCACAUUGAUAUUCAAUUGGAAAUUAUUAAUGCAUCAUUGCAUCAUAUUUUGUGUACUAUUUUGCACCCUGAUAAGGCAGUCCCUAUGACAAUGGUUGGCCUUUCUGGCUAUCCCGAGGAGGGUAGGAAAAUAGAGACAUGGAACCUUAUAAAAAAUUUGAUGCCCAGGACCUGAGGGCCUAUGUGGUUAUCGGAGACUUUAAUGAUGUCUUAUCCCCCUUUGAUAAAUUGGGUGGGGACCCUCCCGAUUUGGGACAUACUCAGUGGGUUAAUCAGAUGUGUAGAGAUUGCGGCCUAUUUGAGGUGGAGUUCUUAGGGAAGCGGUUCACUUGGUCUAAUAAUCGAACCGCUCCGGAAACUAUUGAAGAAAGGUUGGAUUUAGCUUUGAUUCAUGAUGAGUGGAAUGCCCUCUGGCCGGUCACAUCUAUUGUACAAUUCAAGCGACACCAGUCCGACCAUAGCCCCAUCCUUUUAAAGUGUGGUACCAGUAGAGGGCGGAAGGAGCUCAAACGAACGCAUAUGUUCAGGUUUGAGGAGUUAUGGCUUUAGGAAGGAGUUGAGUGUGCAGAGGUUGUAACUGAAUCAUGGUGCAAUGGGGGAACAUAUUUUCUUACCAGAAUUGCAAACGUGAGUAGUGCUCUUGAUGGUUGGGGCAAAUCCAAGUUUGGAGACUUACCCAAGAAAAUUGUUGAUCAGCAAGCCUUGUUGCAAGACCUUCAGGGAAAAACCCAAACAGAGCAAGUGAGGUUGGCAACUAGGGAGGCAUCAAAAGAGUUGGAUAACUUGUUGGAGCAGGAAGAGAUCUGGUGGGGUCAGAGAUCAAGAGCCACAUGGCUAAAACAUGGAGAUAAAAACUCAAAAAAUUUCCAUCAGAAAGCGUCCCAAAGGUGUAAGAGGAAUAUGAUUAAGCAAAUCCGAGAUGACCGAGGAAGGAAAUUUGAAGAGGAGAAAGACAUUUCUAGGGUCCUUAUGGACUAUUUUACUAACCUUUUUGCCACUUCACAUCCUUCGGGGGUGGAGGAGGUAACUUCUUUGGUUGCAGGUCGCAUUUCUACAGCUCAUCUGACUGUCCUCAACGAACCUUUCAGCAAGGAGGAAGUUGAGGAGGCGCUAUUCCAGAUGCACCCAACAAAAGCGCCACGCAUUGAUGGUCUUCUUGCACUUUUUAUCAAAAAUUCUAGAAUGUUAUAGGGGAGGAGGUGUCAGAGUUUUGUCUUCAAAUUUUGAGCGGUGCUCUAUCACCAGGGCGUUUAAUUACUGAUAAUGCGUUGAUUGCCUAUGAAUGCUUCCACUAUAUGAAGAAGAAAAUUACUUGCCGCAAUGGCACUAUGGCGCUAAAAUUGGACAUGUCCAAAGCGUAUGACCGUAUUGAAUGGUCCUUUCUUGAGGCAGUACUAAAAAAGAUGGGUUUUCCUGAUAGCUGGAUGACAGUGUCCUGUUUGCUCGAACAAGGGUUGAGGAGGCCCAGUGCCUGAAAAAUAUUCUCACCAUCUAUGAGAGAGCUUCUGGACAGAUGAUUAAUCUUGAAAAAUCUAUUAUUUCUGUGAGCCGAAACGUACCUGAUAAUAGUUUUCAUGAGCUUAAGCAGUUGUUGAAUGUACAGGCGGUGGAAAGCUUUAACAAGUAUUUGGGAUUACCGACCAUCAUUGAUAUUGAUUGUAUGGUCUCAAAAAAUUUCUAGGGCGGAGAUCCAUCUCGACAAGGUCUACAUUGGACAAAGUGGGAGAACCUAUGCAAGAGUAAAACGGAUGGUGGCUUGGGAUUUAGAGACUUUAAAUCUUUUAACUUGGCUUUGGUGGCAAAAAAUUGGUGUCGUAUUUACACUAAACCAGAGAGCCUUUUGGCGCGAUUUUUCAAGGAAGUCUAUUUUUAUAACUGUAAUUUGAGGUUGGCUAAAAAGCGUUUUCCUUCUAGCUAUGCAUGGUCUAGUAUCAUGAAAACUAGUUGGAUUUUCUAGCGUGGGGGAAUGUGGAGGAUUGGGGAUGGAACCCAAGUCAAUUUAUGGACUGAUAAAUGGUUGCCUAGUGGAUCUUCACUAUAGGCAAGACCUAGCUGCAGAACUAGCACUAUCUAAGGUGGCCAAUUUAAUUAACCACGAGCAACAUAGCUGGAAGAAGGACUUGAUAGAACAUGUUUUCAGUCCAAGCACAGCUGAGGAAAUUCUUUCAAUCCCUUUGAGCAUAAAUGGUGGCCUGGAUGUACUGUUUUGGACCACAGAUUCAAGAGGUCAGCACACUUCUAAGGCAGGUUACAACUUCCUAAUGCACCAAGCGUCCCGUGAAGCUCCUUCAUCAUCCUCAUUUGUUUUGUUCACGGCGGGGUUCUGGAAAGGCUUUUGGGCAUCCACGGCCUUACCUCGAUGCAAGCAAGUGAGUUGGAGAGUGGUUUCAGGUUAUCUUCCUUUGAGAGCGAAGCUGAUUCGGCGCCAUGUCGAUGUAGACCCAGGCUGCAAUCUGUGUGCUGAAGAGAGUGAGACGGAGGAGCAUCUUUUUAUGCAUUGUCCAUCGACUUGUCAGGUCUUGUUUGCAUCACCUCUGUCUCUCCGCGUUGACAAUUUUCUCACGUUUGCAGAUUUUUGGAGACACAUUCAUGAGCUGCAUGAUAGUGAAGUUAUGGCUCUAGUCCAGACAACUAUUUACAUGAUGUGGGAGGCCCGUAAUCACCACCAGUUCCAGCAGCGACCUUCUUCAAUGGAGGACAUUCUCCAGCGAGUAGCAAGCGUGCAGGCGGAGGUGCGUGUAGGUGCAUCAGCUCCAGCUACGAUUGAGAGAAAUGUGGCUUGGUGCGGACCUAAUCGUGGCACUUAUAAGUGCAAUUUUGAUGCUUAAUUCGUGGAUGGGAGACCGACCGGUUUGGGUAUGGUGGUUCGUAACCAUAGAGGUGAGGUGAUGGCCUCUGCGUGCUCCUAUGCAGUUCAUGUUACCACUCCUCUUCUGGCUGAAGCAAUGUCCAUGAGGUGGUCCUUACAACUGGCUAUUGAUUUGGGUUUCCGACGAAUUUCAUUGGAGAUAGAUUGCCUGCAGUUGUUUAACCACUGGCAUGCAAAGGAGGAUGGUCGGUCGUAUUUGAGUUAUAUUAUUAGUGAUUGUCGUUUAUUGAGUUCUGCUUUUGAUUUAGUUUCUGUUAUAUUUGUUCGCCGUAAGGGUAAUGCGGUGGCGGAUUUUUUGGCUAAGAAUGCGGAAGCUUAUACCGAUAUGGUAUGGGUGGAAGAGGUCCCUUUAGCCGCCGCACUGCUUAUUGAUCGUGAUGUAAUGAACCUUUUGCCGGUUGGCCUUUAAUAUAUUUGCAGUUGAAUUUCAUAAAAAAUAGUAUC